AGAGUUUGAUCCUGGCUCAGAUGAACGCUGGCGGCGUGCCUAAUACAUGCAAGUCGAACGGGGAGUACUUACUUCGGUUUUUACUCCUAGUGGCGAACGGGUGAGUAACGCGUUGGUGACCUGCCCCGAAGAGGGGGAUAACAGUUCGAAAGGACUGCUAAUACCCCAUGUGGUCGUACUGGUUAGAGGCUGUACGACUAAAGGAGUAAUCCACUUCGGGAGGGGCCUGCGUCCCAUCAGCUAGUUGGUAAGGUAACGGCCUACCAAGGCGAUGACGGGUAGGGGACCUGAGAGGGUGGUCCCCCACACUGGCACUGAAACACGGGCCAGACACCUACGGGUGGCAGCAGUAGGGAAUAUUGCACAAUGGGCGAAAGCCUGAUGCAGCAACGCCGCAUGCGCGAAGAAGGCCUUCGGGUUGUAAAGCGCUUUUCCGGAGGAAGAGGAAGGACGGUACUCCAGGAAUAAGGAUCGGCUAACUACGUGCCAGCAGCCGCGGUAACACGUAGGAUCCGAGCGUUAUCCGAAUUUACUGGGCGUAAAGCGCGUGUAGGCGGUCGGGUAAGUUGGACGUGAAAGCUCCUGGCUCAACUAGGAGAGGUCGUUCAAAACUGCCUGGCUAGAGGGCGACAGAGGGAGGUGGAAUUCCCGGUGUAGUGGUGAAAUGCGUAGAUAUCGGGAGGAACACCAGUGGCGAAGGCGGCCUCCUGGGUCGCACCUGACGCUCAGACGCGAAAGCUAGGGGAGCGAACGGGAUUAGAUACCCCGGUAGUCCUAGCUGUAAACGAUGUGGACUUGGCGUUGGUGGGGUUAAAUCCAUCAGUGCCGUAGCUAACGCGAUAAGUCCACCGCCUGGGGACUACGGUCGCAAGAUUAAAACUCAAAGGAAUUGGCGGGGGCCCGCACAAGCAGCGGAGCGUGUGGUUUA
Molecule: ribosomal RNA, 928 nt
Filed under: uncultured bacterium
Lineage: Bacteria
Description: bacterial SSU rRNA
Rfam family: Bacterial small subunit ribosomal RNA
Source: RNAcentral